ACUAAGCGUACACGGUGGAUGCCCUGGCAGUCAGAGGCGAUGAAGGACGUGCUAAUCUGCGAUAAGCGUCGGUAAGGUGAUAUGAACCGUUAUAACCGGCGAUUUCCGAAUGGGGAAACCCAGUGUGAUUCGUCACACUAUCAUUAACUGAAUCCAUAGGUUAAUGAGGCGAACCGGGGGAACUGAAACAUCUAAGUACCCCGAGGAAAAGAAAUCAACCGAGAUUCCCCCAGUAGCGGCG
RNAcentral lists this ribosomal RNA (241 nucleotides) under Escherichia coli. Its description in RNAcentral is "partial 23S ribosomal RNA". It matches the Rfam family "Bacterial large subunit ribosomal RNA", at positions 10 to 251 of the family's 2925-position model. The record is from RNAcentral. Lineage: Bacteria; Pseudomonadati; Pseudomonadota; Gammaproteobacteria; Enterobacterales; Enterobacteriaceae.